RNAcentral lists this ribosomal RNA (494 nucleotides) under uncultured bacterium. Its description in RNAcentral is "partial 16S ribosomal RNA". It matches the Rfam family "Bacterial small subunit ribosomal RNA", at positions 28 to 507 of the family's 1533-position model. The record is from RNAcentral.
GACGAACGCUGGCGGCGUGCUUAACACAUGCAAGUCGAACGGAAAGGCCUGCUUUCCCUUGUGGAUUGCGGGUACUCGAGUGGCGAACGGGUGAGUAACACGUGAGUGAUCUGCCCCCAACUUGGGUAUAAGCCUGGGAAACUGGGUCUAAUUCCCGAUAGGACUGCAGGGUGGUGCCUGUGGUGGAAAACGAUUUUCUAGUGGUUGGGGAUGAGCUCGCGGCCUAUCAGCUUGUUGGUGGGGUAAUGGCCUACCAAGGCGGCGACGGGUAGCCGGCCUGAGAGGGUGGACGGCCACAUUGGGACUGAGAUACGGCCCAGACUCCUACGGGAGGCAGCAGUGGGGAAUAUGACACAAUGGGCGGAAGCCUGAUGCAGCGACGCCGCGUGGGGGAUGACGGCCUUCGGGUUGUAAACUCCUUUCGACCGCGAGGAAGCCACCUGGUUGGAAGGGUGGUGACGGUAGUGGUAGAAGAAGCACCGGCUAACUACGUG